AUACUCUGGUUUCUCUAUAAAGUGAUUUAGUCUUUUGACUUUUAAGGAAAGAUUUUUGUGGAGAGGAGCAACCAUGAGUUUUGGUGAUUUUUUUUUUAUGCCUGGCUAAUGCCAGGCU
Molecule: small nuclear RNA, 118 nt
Organism: Rana temporaria (common frog)
Lineage: Eukaryota; Metazoa; Chordata; Amphibia; Anura; Ranidae
Product: U5 spliceosomal RNA
Exons: 1
Source: RefSeq, a predicted model, not a curated record